CUAGCUCAGGUAGCUUAAAUCUAAAGCACUG
RNAcentral lists this transfer RNA (31 nucleotides) under Ophisops elegans (snake-eyed lizard). RNAcentral's name for it is "partial tRNA-Thr". Lineage: Eukaryota; Metazoa; Chordata; Lepidosauria; Squamata; Lacertidae. The record is from RNAcentral.